GUGAAUCAUCAAAUUUUUGAACGCAAAUUGCACUCUCUGGUAUUCCGGGGAGUAUGCUUGCUUGAGGGUUAGUUUGUUACAAUCGUAAAAGGAAAUUUUUACGGAUCUGGGUUUUCCGAACGAUUUAUUUUAAGUAAUCUAAAAUUUAUCAUAACAAUAGGUGUUAUUGGAAAUGUUUAUUUUUCAUGCAUUAACAAUU
Molecule: unclassified non-coding RNA, 199 nt
Filed under: Acaulospora lacunosa
Lineage: Eukaryota; Fungi; Glomeromycota; Glomeromycetes; Diversisporales; Acaulosporaceae
Description: partial contains 5.8S ribosomal RNA and internal transcribed spacer 2
Rfam family: 5.8S ribosomal RNA (bases 1-71)
Source: RNAcentral